GACGAACGCUGGCGGCGUGCUUAACACAUGCAAGUCGAACGGAAAGGCCCUGCUUUCAGGGUACUCGAGUGGCGAACGGGUGAGUAAGACGUGGGUGAUCUGCCCUGCACUUCGGGAUAAGCUUGGUAAACUGGGUCUAAUACCUGAUAGGAAACAUCUUUAAUGUGGUGGUUGGAAAGUUUUGUGGGUGUAGGGUGAGUUCGCGGCGUAUCAGCUUGUUGGUGUGGUAAUGGCUUACCAAGGCGGCGACGGGUAGCCGGACUGAGUGGGUGUACGGCCACACUGGGACUGAGGGAAGGCACAGGCUGCUACGGGAGGGAGAAGUGGGGAAUAUUGCCGAAUGGGCGCAAGCCUGAUGCAGAGACGCCGCGUGGGGGAUGAAGGUCUUCGGGUUGAAAAACAAUUUCGCAAGGGACGAAGCUUGUUGUGACGGUACCUAGACAAGAAGCACCGGCUAACUACGUG
Molecule: ribosomal RNA, 465 nt
Filed under: uncultured bacterium
Lineage: Bacteria
Description: partial 16S ribosomal RNA
Rfam family: Bacterial small subunit ribosomal RNA
Source: RNAcentral